This 859-nucleotide ribosomal RNA is filed under the name Aspergillus diversus. RNAcentral describes it as "LSU rRNA". It matches the Rfam family "Eukaryotic large subunit ribosomal RNA", at positions 33 to 909 of the family's 3401-position model. Lineage: Eukaryota; Fungi; Ascomycota; Eurotiomycetes; Eurotiales; Aspergillaceae. The record is from RNAcentral.
CUUAAGCAUAUCAAUAAGCGGAGGAAAAAGAAACCAACCGGGAUUGCCUCAGUAACGGCGAGUGAAGCGGCAAGAGCUCAAAUUUGAAAUCUGGCCCCUCCGGGGUCCGAGUUGUAAUUUGCAGAGGAUGCUUCGGGUGCGGCCCCCGUCUAAGUGCCCUGGAACGGGCCGUCAGAGAGGGUGAGAAUCCCGUCUUGGGCGGGGUGUCCGUGCCCGUGUGAAGCUCCUUCGACGAGUCGAGUUGUUUGGGAAUGCAGCUCUAAAUGGGUGGUAAAUUUCAUCUAAAGCUAAAUACUGGCCGGAGACCGAUAGCGCACAAGUAGAGUGAUCGAAAGAUGAAAAGCACUUUGAAAAGAGAGUUAAACAGCACGUGAAAUUGUUGAAAGGGAAGCGCUUGCGACCAGACUCGCUCGCGGGGUUCAGCCGGCAUUCGUGCCGGUGUACUUCCCCGCGGGCGGGCCAGCGUCGGUUUGGGCGGUCGGUCAAAGGCCUCCGGAAUGUAUCACCCUCCGGGGUGCCUUAUAGCCGGGGGUGCAAUGCGGCCAGCCCAGACCGAGGAACGCGCUUCGGCACGGACGCUGGCAUAAUGGUCGUAAACGACCCGUCUUGAAACACGGACCAAGGAGUCUAACAUCUACGCGAGUGUUCGGGUGUCAAACCCGUACGCGCAGUGAAAGCGAACGGAGGUGGGAGCCUUUCGGGGCGCACCAUCGACCGAUCCUGAUGUCUUCGGAUGGAUUUGAGUAAGAGCGUAAAUGUGGGGACCCGAAAGAUGGUGAACUAUGCCUGAAUAGGGUGAAGCCAGAGGAAACUCUGGUGGAGGCUCGCAGCGGUUCUGACGUGCAAAUCGAUCGUCAAA